Molecule: ribosomal RNA, 468 nt
Filed under: uncultured bacterium
Lineage: Bacteria
Description: partial 16S ribosomal RNA
Rfam family: Bacterial small subunit ribosomal RNA
Source: RNAcentral
GACGAACGCUGGCGGCGUGCUUAACACAUGCAAGUCGAACGGAAAGGCCCUGCUUUUGUGGUGUGCUCGAGUGGCGAACGGGUGAGUGACACGUGAGUAACCUGCCCUUGACUUUGGGAUAACUUCAGGAAACUGGGGCUAAUACCGGAUAGGAGCUCCUGCUGCGUGGUGGGGGUGGGAAAGUUUCGGCGGUUGGGGAUGGACUCGCGGCUUAUCAGCUUGUUGGUGGGGUAGUGGCUUACCAAGGCUUGGACGGGUAGCCGGCCUGAGAGGGUGACCGGCCACAUUGGGACUGAGAUACGGCCCAGACUCCUACGGGAGGCAGCAGUGGGGAAUAUUGCACAAUGGGCGGAAGCCUGAUGCAGCAACGCCGCGUGCUGGAUGACGGCCUUCGGGUUGUAAACCGCUUUCGCCUGUGACGAAGCGUGAGUGACGGUAAUGGGUAAAGAAGCACCGGCUAACUACGUG